RNAcentral lists this ribosomal RNA (1386 nucleotides) under uncultured bacterium. RNAcentral describes it as "bacterial SSU rRNA". It matches the Rfam family "Bacterial small subunit ribosomal RNA". The record is from RNAcentral.
AGAGUUUGAUCCUGGCUCAGGACGAACGCUGGCGGCGCGCCUAACACAUGCAAGUCGAACGAGAGAGAAGGAGCUUGCUUCUUCGAUCGAGUGGCGAACGGGUGAGUAACGCGUGAGGAACCUGCCUCAAAGAGGGGGACAACAGUUGGAAACGACUGCUAAUACCGCAUAAGCCCACAGGUCGGCAUCGACCAGAGGGAAAAGGAGCAAUCCGCUUUGAGAUGGCCUCGCGUCCGAUUAGCUAGUUGGUGAGGUAAUGGCCCACCAAGGCGACGAUCGGUAGCCGGACUGAGAGGUUGAACGGCCACAUUGGGACUGAGACACGGCCCAGACUCCUACGGGAGGCAGCAGUGGGGAAUAUUGCACAAUGGGGGAAACCCUGAUGCAGCGACGCCGCGUGGAGGAAGAAGGUCUUCGGAUUGUAAACUCCUGUUGUUGAGGAAGAUAAUGACGGUACUCAACAAGGAAGUGACGGCUAACUACGUGCCAGCAGCCGCGGUAAAACGUAGGUCACAAGCGUUGUCCGGAAUUACUGGGUGUAAAGGGAGCGCAGGCGGGAAGACAAGUUGGAAGUGAAAUCCAUGGGCUCAACCCAUGAACUGCUUUCAAAACUGUUUUUCUUGAGUAGUGCAGAGGUAGGCGGAAUUCCCGGUGUAGCGGUGGAAUGCGUAGAUAUCGGGAGGAACACCAGUGGCGAAGGCGGCCUACUGGGCACCAACUGACGCUGAGACUCGAAAGUGUGGGUAGCAAACAGGAUUAGAUACCCUGGUAGUCCACACCGUAAACGAUGAUUACUAGGUGUCGGAGGAUUGACCCCUUCAGUGCCGCAGUUAACACAAUAAGUAAUCCACCUGGGGGAGUACGACCGCAAGGUUGAAACUCAAAGGAAUUGACGGGGGCCCGCACAAGCAGUGGAAGUAUGUGGUUUAAUUCGACGCAACGCGAAAAACCUUACCAAGUCUUGACAUCCUGCGACGGACAUAAGAAUUAUGCCUUUCCUUCGGGACCCAAAAACCAGGUGGUGGCAUGGUUUGCCGCCACCUCCUGGCCCUGGAGAAUGUUGGGGUUAAAUCCCCCCAACAGAGCGCAACCCCUUAAUGGGCGGUUUACUCCCCAAAAGAGGACUUUGGGCCAAAUUGCCUUUGACAAAACAAGGAAGGUGGGGAUGACGUCAAAUCAUCAUGCCCUUUAUGACUUGGGCUACACACGUACUACAAUGGCGUUAAACAAAGAGAAGCAAGACCGCGAGGUGGAGCAAAACUCAGAAACAACGUCCCAGUUCGGACUGCAGGCUGCAACUCGCCUGCACGAAGUCGGAAUUGCUAGUAAUCGUGGAUCAGCAUGCCACGGUGAAUACGUUCCCGGGCCUUGCACACACCGCCCGUC